GGGUGCAUAGCUCAGCGGCAGAGCGUCCGCCUCACACGCGGAAGGUCAGAGGUUCAAACCCUCUUGCGCCCACCA
Molecule: transfer RNA, 75 nt
Filed under: Elusimicrobia bacterium GWA2_38_7
Lineage: Bacteria; Pseudomonadati; Elusimicrobiota
Also listed under: 3 other names
Description: tRNA-Val
Rfam family: tRNA
About the family: Transfer RNA (tRNA) molecules are approximately 80 nucleotides in length. Their secondary structure includes four short double-helical elements and three loops (D, anti-codon, and T loops). Further hydrogen bonds mediate the characteristic L-shaped molecular structure. tRNAs have two regions of fundamental functional importance: the anti-codon, which is responsible for specific mRNA codon recognition, and the 3' end, to which the tRNAs corresponding amino acid is attached (by aminoacyl-tRNA synthetases). tRNAs cope with the degeneracy of the genetic code in two manners: having more than one tRNA (with a specific anti-codon) for a particular amino acid; and 'wobble' base-pairing, i.e. permitting non-standard base-pairing at the 3rd anti-codon position.
Source: RNAcentral